UCUUGGAGACCAUGCAUCUAUAAUCAAGCAUUAUCAAUAUUUUUUGAGAAAUUUCAUUAUUUGGUGUGUUCAAAGAGAACCAAUUCCUUAUCACCAUCUAAAAAGGAUGUUAUUGAUUAUUGAAUUUUUUGUAAAACACAAGCUUUUCAUAUUCAGCAUGUUUAAUGUGAAUUUUCCUUGUUCUAUGUUGAAACAGACUUUAUCCUUUAAGAAAUAGAUGUUACUUAAUUUGUUUGUUUACUACAUGUAUUUGUGGAAGGUUGCUUAAACCUGAAUCUGCAAUUGAAGAGUUAGAUACUCUUUCACUUGGGAGAUGAAUUUAGUGCUAUCUUUUUUAAGUUCUUAAUAUUCAUUGGAGAAUUUAACAUUGAAGACUGUCUUUUAUACUUGUGUCUUUAUUUGCCUUGACUACAGCUGCCUUAAAGUACUAUCUUUAUCAGCUGUAGAUUUACAUUCUAUGUUUCUUCAUUCAGAGACAUGGCACUUUAUUUUUUCAUAUACAUGAGUUUUUGAAAAAUACUAGAUCUGUUAGUUAGUUUACCUAACGAGGUGAUCAAAGGUUUUGAUAAACCAAAACUUUGUGUUGUUAAGACAAUGAUUUAUCAUGUUUUG
RNAcentral lists this long non-coding RNA (612 nucleotides) under Mytilus galloprovincialis (Mediterranean mussel). The record is from RNAcentral. Lineage: Eukaryota; Metazoa; Mollusca; Bivalvia; Mytilida; Mytilidae.